Molecule: long non-coding RNA, 1027 nt
Filed under: Apteryx owenii (little spotted kiwi)
Lineage: Eukaryota; Metazoa; Chordata; Aves; Apterygiformes; Apterygidae
Description: lncRNA (ENSAOWG00000014592.1)
Source: RNAcentral
CUCUGUGGUUCAUAGAUGGUGAAUGUGCUCUGGAUAUGGAAGAGGUUAACUAUUUGAGACAUGGUGUUAAACAGUGUUGGUUAUUACACUUUCUACCACUGGAAGAGAUAGUAAUUAUUACCCAGCCACCCCACACUAAGAGACUGUUUUGUAAACUGAUGCAACAAGUGAGGAUCUAGAAUACGCGGGAAGAAGUGCUGACUGCAAGGCAAAGAGUGGCAAAAGUGAUCAAACAGUGCACCAUUUGAUCGUCUUCGAAGGCAGAAAUUGUUUUUAAGUGGGUCUUGGGCAAGGCAAUGCAGCAAAAAAUGAUCAGGGAGGGCAAAAUGAUCCGGGAGAGCUUUCUGUGUAUAAGGAGAAGCAUGCAAGAAUGCGUAGAGAUGCUGUCUUCAUACUGGAAUCCGCCCCAGAUGCAUGCUCUAAUUUAAACAAGAAUAAUUCAAAGAAGCCUCACAGCCUGCAUUACACCCACAGUUAUACUGGGUGAUUCUAAGGAUCUGGUCUGGCCUUAAAAGCAUGGCCUUAAAAACAGUUUGAGAACAGCAUUAAAAAAUCCAAAAUAAAGCUCAUUCAAGGCUAUCAGUGUCUAAAAAUGACAGAGUUACUACAGAAGGCUUGGCCUUGCGAGGGAGAACAACCCAUGAAUCUGCUGGGACGUUGCUGCUGUCCAGUGUAAAUGUGAUGAUGAGCACGUUCUGGGAUGAUUCCUUAUACAUCCCUCCAGCAAAGAGGACUGGACAGAAGUGAUGCCUUUACGAUUCUUCAUGAGGGGAAUAGGCACUUGGUAACCCUAUUGGAUGAAAGUUUGUGUUCGUUUUCAAAAUGCCAUUGCUUUCAGCCAGCCAAGAAAUCCACAGCGGUGAAUCUUUCUGAGGUCUUUGUUGCAGGAUUUGCAGGAAUAGUUCAGGAAGGCCAUGGCCAGUUUGAGUUCUCUCCAACUUGUUCUGCGUACCUGGAUAGCUUAGUGGCUGCUUCCCAGCUGGACAGACAUGGUAAAGGACUGUCUUUGCGUGUGAUUCAUGACUGA